Molecule: ribosomal RNA, 966 nt
Filed under: Triticum aestivum (bread wheat)
Lineage: Eukaryota; Viridiplantae; Streptophyta; Magnoliopsida; Poales; Poaceae
Description: partial small subunit ribosomal RNA
Source: RNAcentral
AUGGCUGAACCGAGCAUCCUCCUGGCGGCUCCCAGUGAGACUGUCCUCGCAGCGGCCACGGCUCGAUGGUUCACCCCCGUGCGCAUGGUGGCUGCGCCUGUGGCGGAUGUGGCCGCUGCCAUGGCCGGCGCCAGACCUGGUCGAUCUCCCUCUUCUGUAUUUGAGAAAAAAGAGAUCUCCCUCUUCUCUUCUGAUGAGAAGGGGAAGAGAUGGCCACACAUGAUUACAAUCCUUUUUGUGUGCAAGUCAAGCUUAUCUAGUUUACACAGUGCAUCGUUCAAGCCAAGCAAGCAGUGGUCAAUACAAAUCCACCAUGCCCUCCUUGCUAUCGUGGCGACCACCGCCACAACUGCAGUUAGAGUUCCAGUGCCACAAUUGCAGCCACAAAAUCCAUCUCAGCAACAACCACAAGAGCAACCAUAUCCGCAGCCGCAACUAUUUCCUCCAAAACUACCAUAUCCGCAGCCGCAACCAUUUACACCACAUCAAUCAUAUCCACAACCACAACCACAGUAUCCGCAACCACAACAAGCAAUUUCGCAGCAACAAGGACAACAACAACAACAACAACAAAUCCUUCAACAAAUUCUGCAACAACAACUGAUUCCAUGCAGGGAUGUCGUCUUGCAACAACCCAACAUAGCACAUGCAAGCUCACAAGUAUCUCAACAAAGUUACCAUCUAUUGCAACAAUUAUGUUGUCAGCAACUGUGGCAGACCCCCGAGCUGUCACAGUGCCAAGUCUUCUACCAGCAGCCUCAGCAACAAUAUCCAUCAGGCCACGGCUCCUUCCAGCCAUCUCAGCAAAACCCACAGACCCAGGGCUUUGUCCAACCUCAGCAACUGCUGCAGUUUGAGGAAAUAAGGAACGUAGCGCUGCAGACACUACCAGCAAUGUGCAAUGUCUACAUCCCUCCAUAUUGCUCGACCACCAUUGCGCCAUUUGGCAUCGUGAGUACUAACUGA